CCUACGGGUGGCAGCAGUGAGGAAUAUUGGUCAAUGGACGCAAGUCUGAACCAGCCAUGCCGCGUGCAGGAAGACGGCUCUAUGAGUUGUAAACUGCUUUUGUACGAGGGUAAACGCAGAUACGCGUAUCUGUCUGCAAGUAUCGUACGAAUAAAGAUCGGCUAACUCCGUGCCAGCAGCCGCGGUAAUACGGAGGAUUCAAGCGUUAUCCGGAUUUAUUGGGUUUAAAGGGUGCGUAGGCGGUCGGAUAAGUUAGAGGUGAAAUCCCGAGGCUCAACUUCGGAAUUGCCUCUGAGACUGUUCGGCUAGAGAGUAGUUGCGGUAGGCGGAAUGUAUGGUGUAGCGGUGAAAUGCUUAGAGAUCAUACAGAACACCGAUUGCGAAGGCAGCUUACCAAGCUACUUCUGACGUUGAGGCACGAAAGCGUGGGGAGCAAACAGGAUUAGAUACCCUAGUAGUC
RNAcentral lists this ribosomal RNA (460 nucleotides) under uncultured bacterium. RNAcentral's name for it is "partial 16S ribosomal RNA". It matches the Rfam family "Bacterial small subunit ribosomal RNA", at positions 338 to 795 of the family's 1533-position model. The record is from RNAcentral.